AGAUUUUUGAUUUGGGGGUACAUAUCAUUCAGAAUUCUGAAGUCAUUGAAUCGCCGUCUUCCGCUUCCAAAGUUUCCACUGAAUUGCCCAUUCUCAUUCCCUGUUUAUUGUUUGUGACGCAAUAUUAUUCUGGCAAAUUUUUGGGAUCUUCUUUUUGGAACACCCUUUUUCCUUUCCAGUGUUGUGGGAUUUCCUGAAAACAUAUCUUGAUGUGGGCCUUUUCUCUUCCAUUGCACUGGGUACUCAUGUUUAAUUGUGGGAAUCCACAUUUGGGGGAAUGUGUUAUUUCUUUGAUAGUUUUUUUUUUUACGUGUUUUCUCAGUCCUCUUUCUGAGACUUGUAACUAUAUACUAUAUGACUUGCUAGACUGAUCCUCUUUUUUUUAAUUGAAUUCUAACUUCCCAUUUUUAUCUUUUUGCUCUACUUCCUAAAAGAUCCAUUCCACUUUUAUCUUCCAUUCCUUCUGUUAAAAAUUAUAUUUCAACUCACAUAUUUUUGAGAGUUUGAUCUUGUUCUGAUUAUCCCAGGCAUUUUCCCCUCUAUUACUUGGACCCCUGGUAUCUCAUUUUUCUAAUUGUAAUAUUUUCAGAGUAAUCUCCCUCUUUACCUGCUUCUCCUCUGAGUGGCUUUCCCCCUUCCUUUUGAUUGGCCUUGAAGUCCUUGGCACUUGGAAGCUUUCCUCUGAGCUGUUGAAAGCUGCAGGUGGAGCUUGCUAACUCCUGGGCUUCCCUGCAGGGAGGCUGUUUGCUUUGCCCAUUUUCUGCAGGUCUUUUCCUUGAAGAGACAGGUUUCUCUAGAGGAGGGGAGGAAUCCUCUUCUCCCAGCCUGAGAAAUGUGGCUCUUUGAAGUCAGCUACGGGAAAUGAGGGUGUUAUCAUUCACUUCCUGUUUGCUUCACUUUGCCCUUUGUCUCCAAAUCAGCCCUGGAGAGAGCAGAGAAUCCAGGUCUACCUGCUUGAGUAUUACAGCCUACUACACCCUGCUGUUCCUCUUCCCAUUGUGCGUAACAAAUUGACCUGUUAACAAGGCCUUCUCCACCUCUACCUGUGGUCCAUUUGGAGUUGACAAUACCUCUUGGUUGCAUUAAAAGUGGAGUUUGCUUUUUUUUUUUUUUUUAAAGCUCUGUCCUUUUUCUGUUCUGGAUUUUUUUUUAAAAAAUCAUUUAUUUUAAAACUUUGUUGUUGGAUGACUUUCAAGAAAAAAAGGGGGGCAGAGAUUUUAAUACUCUACCAUCUUAAACUGAAAGUCUGUAAUAAGCUCUUAACUAUCAGUUUCUAGUUCCAGAAAGAACUGAUAUAUGAAUUUUCUAUCGCACCAUAGCAAAUGAGCAUACAUUUAGUGGUUUAAAAUUACCCCUCUUUAUUAGCUCUAGUUUUGCAUAUAGAAACCCUGGCAUGGUGUGACUGGGUUCUCUGCUCAGUCUCACUAGACUUAAGUCAAAUUUCUAGCUGGUCUGUGGUUUUGCUGAGGUCUUAUGUCACGGGAGAAGAGAUGUCUCUGGGAAAGGGCCCAAGGAGUUCCCAGAGGGGAGAGAGACCCUACUGGUCCACUCAGGACCAGUAGGGUUCUUAGCAUAAGUAAUGGAAAAGAAUUUCAGCACAAGUCAGACAAAGACUCAGGUUUAUUCAGGAAGGCAGAUAAACAUUUAAGGGAGAAUGCAGACUUGUCUCAAGCGAGAAGCAGCCCUGACUUGGGCCGGGGUCCAAUAUUUAUAGAAGAGCUGUAUUGAGGGCUGGACUGGGGGUGGAUCCUGGGUGGAGCUGCACAAUGUCAUGCUAGUUUUCCCUGCGCUUGAGUAUUUCCCUCAUUUUACAAGGGCAUAUUGUUCAAGAUUUACAACUAUGUUUUCUAUGUCUCCGUGGCUUGUGGGUGUUUUCUUUAAGAUUCAGUAUUUCUCUCUCUCUAUCUAAUCCCUAUCUCAGGUCCACUCCAAGCUCUCAGGGUUGUUGGCACAAGUUGGUUCCUUGCAAUCGUAGAACUGAGGUCCUCUUUUCCUGCUAUCUGGCCUGAGGUUCCCUCUUCCUUGACAGCUUCUUUGCUUGGGUUUUGGCCCUCUCACAACAUGGAAGCUUGCAACACACUUAAGUAUGUACAAGAUUUCACCUGCCCGAGUCAGGUGGUCCACCCAAAAGAUCAGAAAUCUUCCUUUGGAUUAACUGAAAGUCAGCUGAUUAGUGUCCUAAUCCAGGAAUUCCCAUCACAUUCACAAGUCACAUCCAUACCCGUGGAGGUAGUUAUACCAGGUCCCCAGGAGUCAUCUUAGAAUUCUACUAUCACAUUGGACACUGUUAUUUUUUCUUAUUUCUUUUUUGUUUGUUUUUGGCAAUACUUUGAACUUCUAAAUAAACAGAUGGCAUUUUAAAUUGAAGACUAUUUGCAUUGUAUUUCAAUUUUUAAAUAUAGCAUCUUUUGAACUAAUCUAAAGUGACUAAACAAUUUGAAGUCUCAAAGUCAUUCUUAAAACCAUUCCUUUAACAAACUAUAUGCAUUACCAUUGAACACUUAUGGGAGAGUCAAAGCAAUCACAUACAAUUAGUGCAUUCUCCUAGUGUCUCUUCCUAAAAGCCAUAUCUCAAUAUCCCUUGAUAAGGGAAAGUCAGGGUCUAUCAAGUGUUCCCCUCCCUAGAUGUCAUUUUUACUUAUUUGCUGGAUGCCCAUUUAAAAGUCCCUUAGAAAAAUAAAUAAAUAAAAUAAAUAAAUAAAUUACCCAGUUAUAGCAACAAAAAAAUAAGAGGAACUCAGGUACCUUAGAAAUUUUGCAGAGCUGCUUCAGUGUUUUUGGAUAUUGCUAAUGUCAUUUUUCAAGACAAAUUACUAUUGGUCACAGUCUUUAUGUGCUACCACUGGAAAUGAUGGGUCAGUUUAAAGAACUUUACGGGUUAAAUAGCUGUUAAGGGGAAAAGUGCUAGUAAACAUCUGAACUUCUAAAUUUCUAUUUGUGAAAAAAAAAUUUUAAUUCUACCUCCUAAAAGUUAAAAUUGAGGUGUGUUUCCGUUUUGGAUUUGUCUGUCUGAUGGGAAGAAUAAAGUUACUUUAGAUGAUGGUGCUUAUCAUACUCAUUUUUUUUUAAAGAGAGAGAGAGAGAAUUUUUAAUAUUUGUAUAUUAGUUUUCGGCGGACACAACAUCUUUGUUUGUAUGUAGUGCUGAGGAUAGAACCCGGGCCUUAUUGGUUGCACUCGUCUAAGUUUUUGUCAAUUAUUUUAAUUACCCUGGUCAAUAAUGUCAUAAUAACUAGCAGAGAAAAAAAAAAACUCUCUCCAGCUUUCUCCUCUGAUAUCUAUGGAUUACUUUUAAGUAUUUGCUCUUCCAAGUAAUUUUUAAAUCUGCUUGUCAAGUUCUAAGCAAAGCUGUAGAUCUGAGGAGAAUUGAUGUCUUUAUAAUUUUGAGUCUUCUUAUCUAAAAGUAUUUAGUUAAUAAGGUCUCCUAUAGUCUUUCAAAAAAAUUGCAUAAUUUUCCACAUGGAAUUUACUACAUCUUUGAUACAAAAUAUUUAUUCCUAAAUAUUUCACAGUUUUAAUGCUGUAAAAUUUUCUUAAUGUUGCUGGUAUACAGAAAUUUAUUUCUUGUAUUGAUUUUGUAUCCAGCAGUCUUGAUAAAUUUUUUUAUUUUUAAAAAUAUAUGUGUAGAUUUUCAGGUUUUCUAUAUAAAUGGUCAUAUUAUCUGAAAAUAGUAACAUCUUUUCUUCUUCAAAUCUUAUACUUUAUACUUCAUAUUAUCCUUUUGUAUUUUUUAGAAUAUCCAGAAAAAAUUUGAAUAGGAGGAUGUUAGGGCAUCCUUGUCUUGUCCCUGACUUGAAGGGAAAGCGUUCAGUUUCUCAUAAUUAUACUAUUUAUGUAAGAUUUUGUUUUUUAAAAAUAUGUAUGAAUGGAUUGAAUGGAUGUUGAAAAGAAAUCAUCAGGCUUUUUUUUUCUUUUUCUCUGGAGGUGAUCAUAUGGUUUGCUUCUUUUAAGUGUUAUUAUGACAACUGAAAUCAAUUAAUUUUAAAAUAAUAAACCAAAUUUGCAUUGCCAGUAUGACUGACAAUCAUGGCUUAUUGUGUUUUAUAAUAGUUGACUAAUAUUUGUUUUUGUUCAUCAGUGAACUUGGCUUAUAAUUUUUUCCUUUUACAUUUUGUUAUUUCAAUUAUAUCCCUCUGGUUUGGGUAUCAAGGUUAUACUAACCUUAUAAAUUGAAAUGUGUGUGUGUGUGUGUGUGUGUUCUUUUAAAGCGUUUGAAUUUACCUAUUCCUUAAAUGUUGAUAGAAUUCAUUUCUCU
This 4254-nucleotide long non-coding RNA is filed under the name Marmota monax (woodchuck). The record is from RNAcentral. Lineage: Eukaryota; Metazoa; Chordata; Mammalia; Rodentia; Sciuridae.